RNAcentral lists this long non-coding RNA (629 nucleotides) under Physcomitrium patens. RNAcentral describes it as "long non-coding RNA (PPAT_LNC010334)". Lineage: Eukaryota; Viridiplantae; Streptophyta; Bryopsida; Funariales; Funariaceae. The record is from RNAcentral.
GUCUCGACAACACAUCUCUUGGAGUUCUAGCUCACUUUUCUAGUGUUGUUCUUGUACUCAUCUGUUUAAUCUAGUUCUGCCACUUCUUCUUGAGCUUCUUGUUAGAUUUCAAGUCUGUAUUUUGUGUCAGUGACAGUUUGUCGAGACUACACUAACUUGAGAUAUCAGAGCUAGUUCUUUCUUAGUAGAGUGUGAAUUACCCCUCUACUUGAAGGUAUACUAGCAUUUUUUAGAGGUUGCGGAUUACCCUCCUCUAAACUGAUACUUCUUCUGUUACAAUAUUGGAGUCUUAUUCUUCUGGGAGAGACUGGAUUACUCCUCUUCUUGAAAUUCUUAAGGCGUUUUAUAGGUUGUGGAUUACCUUCCUAUAAACCAAUAUCGCCUCUUAUAGGGUCAUUUUUGUCCUUCUUUUAGAAUGGCCGGAGGUCAAGACAUUAGUAUGACAGAAAGUUCGGAGUCUAAGUUAGAUGCUAUUAUGAAUGUCCUCGCUACGUUAUCACAAAGAACUGCAGAGAUUGAAGGAGUGGUGGCAAGGCUUCAUAAUGAUGGAGUAUCUGGGAUAGCACAAUCUAAACUACACCAGCCUCAAAUUUCGGCACUUGGAGAAAUAACUUUACCUUAGGUUCGAC